AGGCAUUGUCGAUUAAGGAAAUCCAUUAUGGGUCACAUGCCACACCUGACCAGGUAACUGCAGCUGGUGAUCUAUGUGCUAUUUGCCAGGAGAAGAUGAAUGCACCAAUUUUGUUGCGUUGCAAACACAUCUUUUGUGAAGACUGUGUCUCAGAAUGGUUUGAUAGGGAAAGAACUUGCCCUUUGUGCAGAGCCUUGGUCAGACCUGCUGAUCUAAAAUCUUUUGGAGAUGGAUCGACUGGCCUUUUCUUCCAGUUAUUCUAAAUAUAGAUGUUACACCAGAGUGAAUAUCUUUCCGUGGUAGUGGCAUUAUCCUCGACUUGGCCUGUUCCUGAGUUAUGAAAUUACCUGAUUCUGGGGGUGUUGCCCUGUUAAGGUUUCCACAAGGAUGUUGCGUAAGAAUGGGCUGUGCUCUUGAUACAGUUUCUCUGAGGAUUUGGCGGGGAUGAGAGGAUGUCCUGAUCCAAUAUCAGUACAUAUUGUGCUUCAUUUUUUAAUACAGAAAAUAUUCGUGUAAUGUUAUGUAAUUCAUAAAAUUUAACCACAAGCAUUAAAAUUUUGUUUCCUUUUUCAGGCCAGUACAGUUCCUCAUCAUUAUUUCAACUUGAGAAAAAUUAAUAUCCUAGUAUAUUCCAUGUAUCAUACAGCACUAAUGAAAUACAAAUGAUGGUGAUGGGGCCGGUGAGACUCGCGUCUUUAUUGGCUAUCACGAGGCAGCCCUGUGAUCAAUUUCCAGACCUCUGGGCUCUGGCUGAUCCUUCCCAGAGAGAUAUGUUAUGAAUAGUUUGUACAUUGGAUGCUCAUGUUGUGAAUAACUUAAAGAUUAAAUUUUCUACUUUAUGUCCA
Molecule: non-coding RNA, 845 nt
Organism: Nicotiana tabacum (common tobacco)
Lineage: Eukaryota; Viridiplantae; Streptophyta; Magnoliopsida; Solanales; Solanaceae
Source: RefSeq, a predicted model, not a curated record